UGGGGAUUGGGAUGGGGAUGGGAUGGGGAUGGGAUUGGGAUGGGGAUUGGGAUUAGGAUGGGGAAUGAGAAUUGGAUGGGAAUGGGGAUGGGAUUUGGAUGGGGAUGGGAUGGGAUGGGGACAGGACAGGGAUGGGAUGGGAUGGGGACAGGACACCAUUGCAUAGGACUGCACGGGGGCUGGUGGCCACAUUCCCGUGCCGGCCGCUCACCUGUACUGCGCCUGCUGCCACCCCGGCGUCCCUCUGUGCGCGGGGGCCGUGCCCGUGCCCACGCAGGGGCUGAUGAAGACGUUCUCAUAUUCGGGUGCCACGUUCGCACCCGGAGCAGCAGUGGCAGCGGUGGCAGCAGUGGGGCCGCUCUCAGCCCCGUGGCUGAUGUACCGGGGCUGCCCGUGGGCCCCGGCGGAUUCCCGUUUGCCCCAUCCCGCGGUGGUGGUGGUGGCACCGACGGCAGCGGCCACAACCUUUGGGCCUCCCGGGCACUGUCGCUCGUGGAAAUUGGAGACGUUGAAGGUGCCGUUGGGCGCAGCGCAGAGGCAGCUGAGGUUGGUGGCGCGGGCGCAGGCAUCCAGCACGCUGCGCACCGCGUCGCAGCGGCACGGCACGGUCAGGAGGCUCAAGCUGGGGUGGAAAACGCUGCUGGGGACGGCGGGCAGGGGGUUGUGCCCCAGGAGGAGCCGCCGCAGGCUCCGUGCCUGCUGCAGGAAGGCGUCGGGGAGCCGCCGCAGGGCGUUGUGCGACAGGUCCAGCUCCUCCAGAGUGGGAUCCACUUGGGAUGUGGGGCGCACGGCGCCGAUGCCGUUGUGGGCCAGGAGCAG
Molecule: long non-coding RNA, 819 nt
Filed under: Anas platyrhynchos platyrhynchos (common mallard)
Lineage: Eukaryota; Metazoa; Chordata; Aves; Anseriformes; Anatidae
Description: lncRNA (ENSAPLG00000026160.1)
Source: RNAcentral